RNAcentral lists this ribosomal RNA (557 nucleotides) under uncultured bacterium. RNAcentral's name for it is "bacterial SSU rRNA". It matches the Rfam family "Bacterial small subunit ribosomal RNA", at positions 28 to 622 of the family's 1533-position model. The record is from RNAcentral.
AAUCAACGCUGGCGGCGUGCCUAACACAUGCAAGUCGAACGAGAAAGUGGAGCAAUCCAUGAGUAAAGUGGCGCACGGGUGAGUAACACGUGACUAACCUACCUUUUAGUGGGGGAUAACCUAGGGAAACCUGGGCUAAUACCGCAUAAUACUUACGAGUCAAAGCAGCAAUGCGCUGAAAGAGGGGGUCGCGGUCGAUUAGUUAGUUGGCAGGGUAAUGGCCUACCAAGACUGUGAUCGAUAUCCGGCCUGAGAGGGCGCACGGACACACUGGAACUGAAACACGGUCCAGACUCCUACGGGAGGCAGCAGUGGGGAAUUUUGCGCAAUGGGGGAAACCCUGACGCAGCAACGCCGCGUGGAGGAUGAAGUCCCUUGGGACGUAAACUCCUUUCGAUCGGGACGAUAAUGACGGUACCGGAAGAAGAAGCCCCGGCUAACUUCGUGCCAGCAGCCGCGGUAAUACGAGGGGGGCAAGCGUUGUCGGAAUUAUUGGGCGUAAGGGUGCGUAGGUGGUCGGCAAGUCUGUGUGAAAUCUCCACGCUCAACUGGAGUCC